Molecule: ribosomal RNA, 450 nt
Filed under: uncultured bacterium
Lineage: Bacteria
Description: bacterial SSU rRNA
Rfam family: Bacterial small subunit ribosomal RNA
Source: RNAcentral
UCCAGACUCCUACGGGAGGCAGCAGUGGGGGAUAUUGCACAAUGGGGGGAACCCUGAUCCAGCGACGCCGCGUGAGUGAAGAAGUAUUUCGGUAUGUAAAGCUCUAUCAGCAGGGAAGAAAGAAAUGACGGUACCUGACUAAGAAGCCCCGGCUAACUACGUGCCAGCAGCCGCGGUAAUACGUAGGGGGCACGCGUUAUCCGGAUUUACUGGGUGUAAAGGGAGCGUAGACGGCCAGACAAGUCUGAAGUGAAAAUCCAGCGCGUAACGUUGGAAGUGCUUUGGAAACUGCCGGGCUAGAGUGCAGGAGGGGCGGGCGGAAUUCCUAGUGUAGCGGUGAAAUGCGUAGAUAUUAGGAGGAACACCAGUGGCGAAGGCGGCCUACUGGACGGUGACUGACGCUGAGGCUCGAAAGCGUGGGGAGCAAACAGGAUUAGAUACCCGAGUAAU